Molecule: ribosomal RNA, 445 nt
Filed under: uncultured bacterium
Lineage: Bacteria
Description: bacterial SSU rRNA
Rfam family: Bacterial small subunit ribosomal RNA
Source: RNAcentral
GUAAGGAAUAUUGGUCAAUGGGGGGAACCCUGAACCAGCCAUGCCGCGUGCAGGAAGACGGCCCUACGGGUUGUAAACUGCUUUUGCACGGGAAUAACCCCCGGUAUGUAUACCGGGCUGAAUGUACCGUGAGAAUAAGGAUCGGCUAACUCCGUGCCAGCAGCCGCGGUAAUACGGAGGAUCCGAGCGUUAUCCGGAAUUAUUGGGUUUAAAGGGUGCGUAGGCGGCGCGCUAAGUCAGGGGUGAAAGACGGUGGCUCAACCAUCGCAGUGCCUUUGAUACUGGCGCGCUUGAAUGUACCUGAGGUAGGCGGAAUGUGGCAAGUAGCGGUGAAAUGCAUAGAUAUGCCACAGAACACCGAUUGCGAAGGCAGCUUACCAAAGUACGAUUGACGCUGAGGCACGAAAGCGUGGGGAUCGAACAGGAUUAGAAACCCUAGUAGUCC